RNAcentral lists this long non-coding RNA (206 nucleotides) under Elaeis guineensis (African oil palm). RNAcentral's name for it is "long non-coding RNA (EGUI_LNC004426)". The record is from RNAcentral. Lineage: Eukaryota; Viridiplantae; Streptophyta; Magnoliopsida; Arecales; Arecaceae.
UCUUCAAGUAAGUUAGUAUUUAGUAUUUAAACACCUGAUUAUACUUAAGAAUCAAGUUAAACUAAGUAUUUUAAAAAAAAAAAAUUGAUGUACAGAUCAGAGAGUUUGUGAGAUAUUGAGGGAUCAAGUAUUAAGAAAACUCAAAAAAGAGUUAAGUUUAGAACUUAAACAGUUUUCUUUGAGUAUUUCUAAAUUUUUCUACCAGC